GCUGGGCGCAGUGGCUCGGGCCUGUAAUCCCAGCACUUUGGGAGGUCGAGGCGGGUGGAUCACGAGGUCAGGAGAUCAAGACCAUCCUGGCUAACACGGUGAAACCCCAUCUCUACUAAAAAGUACAAAAAUCUAGCCGGGCGAGGUGGCGGGCGCCUGUANNNNNNNNNNUACAGGCGCCCGCCACCUCGCCCGGCUAGAUUUUUGUACUUUUUAGUAGAGAUGGGGUUUCACCGUGUUAGCCAGGAUGGUCUUGAUCUCCUGACCUCGUGAUCCGCCCGUCUCGGC
Non-coding RNA from Chlorocebus sabaeus (green monkey), 288 nucleotides. The record is from Rfam. NCBI's taxonomy places the organism in Eukaryota, Metazoa, Chordata, Mammalia, Primates, Cercopithecidae.